GCCUUCGUGGUGUAACGGUAGCACACUCGGUGCAUAUUCGAGAGAUCCAGGGUUCGAGUCCCGGAGAGAGCA
This 72-nucleotide transfer RNA is filed under the name Stegodyphus mimosarum. It matches the Rfam family "tRNA". From Rfam's summary of the family: Transfer RNA (tRNA) molecules are approximately 80 nucleotides in length. The record is from Rfam by way of RNAcentral. Lineage: Eukaryota; Metazoa; Arthropoda; Arachnida; Araneae; Eresidae.